UCGUUAUUUUUUUGGUCUGAGGGUAAAUUAGUCAUCUUAAUGACUCUAUAUACCAAUCUUAGGUCGGGAUAGAAACAUGAGAUACCAAUCUAAUAUUUUUAAAACUUGAUAUACCAAAGUUUAUAAAGAGUAAAAGUUCGUAUACUAUUCAAACGAAUUUCACUAUUAAUAAAACCAAGUGAUCGAAUAUGAAAACAAAGAUGAACACGUUUUCAGUUUUCUUUUAAAAUGCAAAGGGGAGGAGUAAAAAUGGCCUAAACUUGCAAAAUAGUUAAUACAUGAGACUUUAAAAUGAUGAAAGUAAUACAAGAGACAUUUAAUACGUAUAAUGUGUUAUGUACGUUUUUGUGCGAAUAUGCCAUUAGGGGAAAGUCCCCGGUGAACUUGUAUUUAGCUUAGUAUUAUUUUUUGAUGACAUGUACUUAGCUCAUUAUUAGUUAUUUUGACACGACACACCCCGAAUUUCACCCUGAAACCCGGAGUAAGUCGUGCGGGGACCACCUCCAAGGAAAAUUUACUGAAAAGGUUGAUAAAAUCUCCCUUGAAAAUGGACAACCCUAACUCGAAAAUUCCAAAUUACACUCUUAAUACAACACGUCCAAACAUCACAUAAUUAUCCUUCAGAAAUUCUAAACAUAAUAUACAAUAAUCCCAAAGUAUUCAGAGCUACUAGACACUAGCGGAAGCAAGAAAACACGAGUAUGUUAAACAUGUAACCUACUGAUGAAAAUUGGCGGACAUGCGGGUGACUAUGCCUCGCCUCCUACUAGAUCCAACCCGAACUCUGCAGACUGGGCAAUUUAAAACGAAGGGCCUAGGGGAAAACAUUUAAUAACGUUAGAGUGAGUGGACAAAAAUAAAAUAAUAAAUAAAAUAUUUAUGUUUCCCCAAAUUAAUUUAUAAGGAAAAAUCGAAUGCAUGCCGCAAGCGAUAAAACUUUUAUCUCAUAAAAUAUCGAGCCUCUUAGACUCUAUAAUAUAUGUAUGUAUGUACACUCGUCCAUACUCCCUAUAUAAAUUCAUGGGUCUAUAUAGGGCUACUACGCUCGCGUCCAAGCCUCACGUCACGCCUUAANGCGUGCUACACUACGCCAUUAAGGU
RNAcentral lists this long non-coding RNA (1100 nucleotides) under Fragaria vesca (wild strawberry). RNAcentral's name for it is "long non-coding RNA (FVES_LNC005240)". Lineage: Eukaryota; Viridiplantae; Streptophyta; Magnoliopsida; Rosales; Rosaceae. The record is from RNAcentral.